This is a long non-coding RNA of Salvelinus sp. IW2-2015, 786 nucleotides long. RefSeq lists it as uncharacterized. NCBI's taxonomy places the organism in Eukaryota, Metazoa, Chordata, Actinopteri, Salmoniformes, Salmonidae. The record is from RefSeq and is a predicted model, not a curated record.
AAACUGUGGGCCAUGUCGUCGGAUGGAGUGGACAGGGCAAAUUCAAGGAUUUUGUUGGAGGGAUCCGUUGCCAUCCUGCACCUCCAUGACUUCCUUACGUUGAAGCCCAAUGAGUGGCUUUGUGGGGAGAUUACUGACUUCUACCUCCAACUGUAGCGGAUUGACCUUCAAGUGGAGAGGGAUGUUUUUUCUUGUGGAUCACCUUCUGGCAGGGAAUAUCCUGCACGGGGAUAAGGUGAUGAUGCGCAAGAAUACCUUGUCAAAGAACAGUCUGGAGCAGCACAGUUACUUGAUUGGAGCUUGCAACGUGGCAAACUACCACUGGAUAGUCUUGCUGAGCUGCACAAGAUGGACCAUUUAGUGCGAGAUUGGACAGUCCUAUACUUGAAUAUAUUAUGUUUGAGGCCAUUUUGACACACUGACUUGGUAUUACCGCUUGCAUUUAGUAUGUCAAUCGCAGGACCUACUCUGCCAUUGUCCUGGACCUUACUGGUUCCCCUAAUGUGGAGCGCCAUAUGAGUGAGAACCUAGUCAAGCACAUCAGAUACUGGUUUGAGAAACGAACCUACUGAAACGGCACAGAAUCUGUGUUCAGCAAUGUUUCCUGGCAGGCGACAACAAUACUUCACACACGCAAAGAGACGGCUACAAUUGUGGAGUUUGUGCUGCUGAUGGCCAGAGUUAAUGCAGAGUGAGAAGGCACUAAUUGACCCAGCUGUCCCAAUGCAUGUUAACAUCGGUCGAGCCAGAAUAGAGGUGGCCAAAGAGAUCCUGGACAAAGGUGAG